GCUGGAAUGGUCUAGGUUAUGACGACUGCCUAACACGCAGUAGGUCCCGAGUUCGAUUCUCGGUUCCAGUA
Molecule: transfer RNA, 71 nt
Filed under: Perkinsus olseni
Lineage: Eukaryota; Perkinsozoa; Perkinsida; Perkinsidae
Rfam family: tRNA
About the family: Transfer RNA (tRNA) molecules are approximately 80 nucleotides in length. Their secondary structure includes four short double-helical elements and three loops (D, anti-codon, and T loops). Further hydrogen bonds mediate the characteristic L-shaped molecular structure. tRNAs have two regions of fundamental functional importance: the anti-codon, which is responsible for specific mRNA codon recognition, and the 3' end, to which the tRNAs corresponding amino acid is attached (by aminoacyl-tRNA synthetases). tRNAs cope with the degeneracy of the genetic code in two manners: having more than one tRNA (with a specific anti-codon) for a particular amino acid; and 'wobble' base-pairing, i.e. permitting non-standard base-pairing at the 3rd anti-codon position.
Source: Rfam by way of RNAcentral